GACGAACCGUCCAAACGUUAUUCGGAAUCACUGGGCUUACAGAGUUCGUAGGCGGUCUAGCAAGUUAGGUGUGAAAUCCCUCAGCUCAACUGAGGAACUGCGCCUGAUACUGCUAGACUCGAGGGAGAUAGAGGAAAGCGGAACAGAUGGUGGAGCGGUGAAAUGCGUUGAUAUCAUCUGGAACACCGGUGGCGAAGGCGGCUUUCUGGGUCUCUUCUGACGCUGAGGAACGAAAGCUAGGGUAGCGAACGGG
RNAcentral lists this ribosomal RNA (253 nucleotides) under uncultured bacterium. Its description in RNAcentral is "partial 16S ribosomal RNA". It matches the Rfam family "Bacterial small subunit ribosomal RNA", at positions 524 to 776 of the family's 1533-position model. The record is from RNAcentral.